RNAcentral lists this ribosomal RNA (1247 nucleotides) under Apolygus lucorum. RNAcentral describes it as "16S ribosomal RNA". The stretch from base 997 to 1155 matches the Rfam family "Archaeal large subunit ribosomal RNA", at positions 2542 to 2701 of the family's 2987-position model. Lineage: Eukaryota; Metazoa; Arthropoda; Insecta; Hemiptera; Miridae. The record is from RNAcentral.
GAUAUUUUUAUUAAUAUUUUUUUAAUUUUUUUUCUUUUUAAAAAAAUAUUUUUGUUUUAAGUAUAAUUUUUUGAAAAAAAUAUAAGAUUUAUAGUUUAUAUUACUGUGAAGGAAAUAUAAAUAAUUAUAUAUAAGUAAUUAUUAUUAAUAUACCUUUUGUAUCAGGGUUUAUCAAUUUAUAAAAUAUAUUCAUUUUUUUCUCGAAAUUUUAAGGUAUAUAACAAAAUUACAUUUAAUGUUUUAAUAUUAUUAUUAAUUUUGUUAUAGUGAAUAUAUUUUAUUCAAUUAAAAAUAUCUAGUUUUCCUAGAAAUAAAUUUAAUUUAUGAUUAUUUUUGCUUAUAAAAUAUAUGAAUAUAUAAUCAGCAAUCAUUUAGGAUAAGCUAAAUGAUAAUUCUAAAAAUAUUUAUUAUUUAAUUUAUAGUAGGUUUAGAAAUAUCCAUCAUUUAUUUUUUAAUAAUUAAUUUUUAUAUAAUUUUUAUAUAAUUAAUAUUUUAGUUAUUUAUAGGAAUAAAUAUUAUAAUAUAAUAAUAUUUUAAUAAUGAUAAAAUAAGUAUUUUAUAUAUAUAAAAUAUAGUAACUCGGCAAAUAUUAUUUUCGCCUGUUUAACAAAAACAUGGUCUUUUGUUUAUAUAAAAGAUCUAACCUGCCCUAUGAUUUAUUUAAAUGGCUGCAGUAUUUUGACUGUACAAGGUAGCAUAAUCAUUUGUCUUUUAAUUGAAGGCUUGUAUGAAUGGUUGGAUGAAAAAUAUACUUUCUUUAUUUUAUAUAAAAAAUUUAAUUUUCUAGUCAAAAAGCUAGGAUUUUUUUAUAGGACGAGAAGACCCUAUAGAACUUUAUUUUCUUUUUUUAUAAACUUUAUAGAUAAAUAUAAGUUUAUAUAUUUUUGUUAAUUUUGUUGGGGUGAUUGAAAAAAUUUUUUAACUUUUUCUAUUUUUUACAUUUAUAUAUGUUUUUUUGAUCCUUUAUUAUGGAAUAAAAGAUUAAGUUACCUUAGGGAUAACAGCGUUAUUUUUUUGGAGAGUUCUUAUCGAUAAAAAAGUUUGCGACCUCGAUGUUGGAUUAAAUUAAGUAAUAGGAGUAGAAUAUUAUUUACUAGGUCUGUUCGACCUUUAAAUUUUUACAUGAUCUGAGUUCAGACCGGCGUGAGCCAGGUCGGUUUCUAUCCUUAAAUUAAUUAAAAAAUUUUAGUACGAAAGGACCAAAUUUUAUGAAUAAUUUAUAUUAAAUGAUUAUACUAAUUUUUAAU